GCCCCCCCCCCCGGUGCCCCCCAGCGCAGCAGCAGCAGCAGCAGCAGCAGAACCUUCCCCCCCCCCCGGGGGGGGCACAGCGCUGCCCGUCUCUCUCGGCGCGGGCGGCGUCGCGCUGCGCCCGCAGCUCGAAGCUUUUGGUGAUGAGCUGCACCGCGUUCAUCUCCUGGCAGCGAAGGGGGGGGCCGUGGCGGCUCUGCCGGGGGGGCUCCCGGUGGUGGGGCUGGAGGCGGCGCUCCGGGGGGGUCCGAACGCCGCCCCCCAUCUCCGCGCUCUCGGUGCUCCCGGUGGCGACGACGCGCCGCUCGCGGUGGCGCCGCGGGGCGAUGCAGGCGCAGCCGUGCGGGUGCGCGGGGGGCUGCGGGGGGGCGGCGUGGCACGGCAGCGCCGGGGGUCUCUGCGGGGAGAGCGGCGGCUGAGACGGCCGGCCUGGGCCGGGGGGCCUCGCCGGGACACGUUCCAUGGCAGCGCGUCACCGUGUGCCGGGUACUGCGUGCCGUGUGCCGCCGUGUGUCACCGUGUGCCAUGUCCUGUGUGCCAUGUCCUGCGUGCCAUGUGCCACCAUGUGCCACUAUGUGCCAUGUGCCACCAUGUGCCAUGUGUCGCCAUGUGCCACGUUAUUUGCCGUGUGCUGCCAUGUGCCAGCACGGUGUCCCACGCCACGUUCCAGGCACGGAGCGCAGAUGCCACACGCCGCGCCCCCCGUGCCGCAUUAUUUGCCACCCCCCCCGCCCCCAGAGCCUCCGCUCGGUGCCCACCUGCCGUCCCUCGCGGUGCGGCGCUCCUCCGCCUUCGGCCGUGCAGCAGGCGCAGGGCUCGGUGCCGUCCCGGUACCCGCGGCGAUGCCGUUCGUCCCGCCGCUCCGGCCGGGCCCGGCAGCCCUGCACCGCGUUACCGCGGCUCGGCGACGCUCGGAGCCCUCCGUGCUCGGCGCGGAUCUCGUCGUCCCGGCGUUGCUCCCGGCGCUCGGCGCCGCUCAGCACCUCGACGGCGGCGCAGCAGCUCCGCACGGCGCGCCACGCCGCCCCCCGGCCCCGCGACCCCGGAGCUCCGUCGCUCGGCCCCGCUCCGUGCCGGCCGCGCAGCCCGCCCGCCUCGCCGUCGCCGUCGCUGCCGCUGCCGCCGGUGUCGGUGCCGCUGCCGGUGCCGCUGUCGGUGUCGGUGCCGGCCGGGCUCGGCGCUCGCGCCGGGCGGUGGCUCAGGAAUUUCUCCAGCGUCCGCGCGGCCAACCCGGCGGCGAUGAAGGAGCGGUCGAUGGCGGAGUCCGGCGCGGCGCCGCCGAUGUGACACGACGCCAGCACGGAGCCCAGCGCCUCGGCCACGCCGGGGGGCUCCGAACCGUCCGGAGGCGGCGGGCGCCGGCGGUCGACGGCCGCGCCGCGGGGCUGCGGUGCGGGGCUGCGGCUCGGCGGAUCCCGGGGGUGCGGAGCGGCGCCGGUCGCGCGGCAGCUGCAGCAGAACCCGGCGGGGGGCGGCGGCGGCGGGGUUCCUGCGGGGGGCGAACGGGGGGGGGGGNNNNNNNNNNNCGACCGGGGCGAAACAACGGGGGCGGCCCGCCGGGGUCGCCGGGUCGGGGGUCACCCGGCUGGGGUCGCUGCGCCCGGGACGCUGCGCUGGGGGCGACACGCUGGGGGGCUCUGCUGGGUCACCGCGUGGGACACCGCACUGGGGGCACCCCGUUGGGUCACUGUUCUGGGGACGAUCCGCUGGGGACGGUCCAUUGGGGACAGUGCAAUGGGGACAAUCCAAGGGGACAGUCCAGUGGGGACACCCUGCUGGGGACAGGCCAUUGGGAAGAGUCCAUUGGGGACAAUCCAAUGGGGACAGUCCAAUGUGGACCCCCCCGGGACGCCCCGUCGGGGUCACUGCACUGGGGACGCCCUGCUGGGGGGGACCUGUUGGGAGCGCUCUGUUAGGGACGCUCCACUGGGACCCUGACAGGAACACAGCGCCCAAAGCCCCCGGUGCUGUGACACUCGGGGUCCGCAUUCCUGCAUCCCCACCC
Molecule: long non-coding RNA, 2005 nt
Filed under: Phasianus colchicus (ring-necked pheasant)
Lineage: Eukaryota; Metazoa; Chordata; Aves; Galliformes; Phasianidae
Description: lncRNA (ENSPCLG00000014104.1)
Source: RNAcentral